GAUGAACGCUGGCGGCGUGCCUAAUACAUGCAAGUCGAGCGAACAGAUGAGGAGCUUGCUCCUCUGACGUUAGCGGCGGACGGGUGAGUAACACGUGGAUAACCUACCUAUAAGACUGGGAUAACUUCGGGAAACCGGAGCUAAUACCGGAUAAUAUAUUGAACCGCAUGGUUCAAUAGUGAAAGACGGUUUUGCUGUCACUUAUAGAUGGAUCCGCGCCGCAUUAGCUAGUUGGUAAGGUAACGGCUUACCAAGGCAACGAUGCGUAGCCGACCUGAGAGGAGAAUCGCCCCACUGGGACAUGAACCACGUGCAGAGCCCCUAGGGGGGGCAGAGGUAGGAAACCUUCCGAAAGGGGCAAAAGCCUGACGGAGCAACGCCGGUGAGGGAUGAAAGUUUUUCGGUUCUAAAACCCCUUUUAUUAGGAAAAAAAAAAUUGUAAAGAAACAUGCCCGGUUUUGAGGUUACCAAAACAAAAAGCCCCGGUAAAUUCCGU
This 496-nucleotide ribosomal RNA is filed under the name uncultured bacterium. RNAcentral's name for it is "partial 16S ribosomal RNA". It matches the Rfam family "Bacterial small subunit ribosomal RNA", at positions 28 to 506 of the family's 1533-position model. The record is from RNAcentral.